ACCUGGCUGGCUCAGUUGGUAGAGCAUGAGACUCAAUCCUGAUCUCAGGAUUGUGAGUUUAAGCCCCAUAUCUGGUG
RNAcentral lists this transfer RNA (77 nucleotides) under Canis lupus familiaris (dog). It matches the Rfam family "tRNA". Rfam says of the family: Transfer RNA (tRNA) molecules are approximately 80 nucleotides in length. Their secondary structure includes four short double-helical elements and three loops (D, anti-codon, and T loops). RNAcentral also lists the same sequence under 2 other names. The record is from Rfam by way of RNAcentral. Lineage: Eukaryota; Metazoa; Chordata; Mammalia; Carnivora; Canidae.